CUUUUUCAGCCAGGCUGUUCAAGAGUUUGGAUAUCCUCUCAGAGUGCGAGCAGAUCAUGGAGGGGAAAAUGUGGGUGUUGCCCGAUUGAUGUUCACCAUGCGCGGACCAGAGAGUGGGUGCUUUAUUGCAGGAAAAAGUGUUCAUAACCAGAGAAUUGAAAGACUUUGGCGCGAUGUCUGGAUGGGGGCCACCAAUGUGUACUACCACAUUUUUCAAAUGCUGGAGGAAGAGGGCCACCUCGACCUGACAAACACCACCCACUUCUUCUGU
Long non-coding RNA from Alosa alosa (allis shad), 271 nucleotides. RefSeq lists it as uncharacterized. NCBI's taxonomy places the organism in Eukaryota, Metazoa, Chordata, Actinopteri, Clupeiformes, Clupeidae. The record is from RefSeq and is a predicted model, not a curated record. The transcript is spliced from 3 exons.